ACGCUAUCACUCCUACGGGAGGCAGCAGCUGGGGAAUAUUCACAAUGGGGGAAACCCGAUGCAGUCAGCCGCGUGUGUGAAGAAGGCCUUCGGGUUGUAAAGCACUUUCAGUAGGGAGGAAGGUAGUGUAGUUAAUAGCGGCCUCAUUUGACGUUAGCUGGAGAAUAAGCACCGGCUAACUACGUGCCAGCAGCCGCGGUAAUACGUAGGGUGCAAGCGUUGUCCGGAUUUAUUGGGUUUAAAGGGUGCGUAGGCGGGGCUAUUAAAGUCAGUGGUGAAAUCCAGCAGCUUAACUGUUGAUGUGCCAUUGAUACUGGUAGUCUUGAGUACAGAUGAGGUAGGCGGAAUUGACAGUGUAGCGGUGAAAUGCAUAGAUAUUGUCAAGAACUCCGAUAGCGAAGGCAGCUUACUGGGCUGUAACUGACGCUGAUGCACGAAAGUGUGGGGAUCAAACAGGAUUAGAUACCCUGGUAG
Molecule: ribosomal RNA, 474 nt
Filed under: uncultured bacterium
Lineage: Bacteria
Description: bacterial SSU rRNA
Rfam family: Bacterial small subunit ribosomal RNA
Source: RNAcentral